CCUCCUUUCUAGAGAAAGACAAAAAGCAAUAUGAAUACCAAUUUUAUACCUUAAAUAAAGUCUCGUAGCUCAGUUGGUCAGAGCACUACACUGAUAAUGUAGGGGUCGGCGGUUCAAAUCCGCCCGAGACUACAAAUAAAAAAUAUUUAUGGGGGAUUAGCUCAGCUGGCUAGAGCGCCUGCCUUGCACGCAGGAGGUCAACGGUUCGACUCCGUUAUUCUCCACCAUUUUCACUGAAAUAUAGUGAAUAAGUUCAUUGAUGUAUUGUAAGUAAGAAGAAAUACCUGCAUAGGUAGAAGUAAUUAAGAGUGUAUGGCGGAUGCCUAGGCUCUCAGAGGCGAAGAAAGACGUGAGACACUGCGAUAAGCCAUGAUGAGGAGUGAACUAUCCUAUGAUUCAUGGAUUUACGAAUG
This 413-nucleotide unclassified non-coding RNA is filed under the name uncultured Bacteroidota bacterium. RNAcentral's name for it is "uncultured Bacteroidetes bacterium partial 16S-23S ribosomal RNA intergenic spacer". The stretch from base 59 to 132 matches the Rfam family "tRNA". Lineage: Bacteria; Pseudomonadati; Bacteroidota. The record is from RNAcentral.